Molecule: ribosomal RNA, 99 nt
Filed under: Dichostereum granulosum
Lineage: Eukaryota; Fungi; Basidiomycota; Agaricomycetes; Russulales; Lachnocladiaceae
Description: partial 5.8S ribosomal RNA
Rfam family: 5.8S ribosomal RNA (bases 1-86)
About the family: 5.8S ribosomal RNA (5.8S rRNA) is a component of the large subunit of the eukaryotic ribosome. It is transcribed by RNA polymerase I as part of the 45S precursor that also contains 18S and 28S rRNA. Functionally, it is thought that 5.8S rRNA may be involved in ribosome translocation.
Source: RNAcentral
GAAUUGCAGAAUUCAGUGAAUCAUCGAAUCUUUGAACGCAACUUGCGCCCCUUGGUAUUCCGAGGGGCACGCCUGUUUGAGUGUCGUGAAUUNCUCCAC